CCUACGGGAGGCAGCAGUGAGGAAUAUUGGUCAAUGGGCGCGAGCCUGAACCAGCCAAGUAGCGUGAAGGAUGACUGCCCUACGGGUUGUAAACUUCUUUUAUAAAGGAAUAAAGUGAGGCACGUGUGCCUUUUUGUAUGUACUUUAUGAAUAAGGAUCGGCUAACUCCGUGCCAGCAGCCGCGGUAAUACGGAGGAUCCGAGCUUUAUCCGGAUUUAUUGGGUUUAAAGGGUGCGUAGGUUGUUUUAUAAGUUAGCGGUGAAAUACCGAUGCUCAACAUCGGGGCUGCCGCUGAUACUGUAGGACUAGAGAUCGGAUGCAGCAGGCGGAAUGUGUAGUGUAGCGGUGAAAUGCAUAGAUAUUACACAGAACACCGAUUGCGAAGGCAGCUUGCUAGGCCGGAUCUGACACUGAUGCACGAAAGCGUGGGGAUCGAACAGGAUUAGAUACCCUUGUAGUC
RNAcentral lists this ribosomal RNA (460 nucleotides) under uncultured bacterium. RNAcentral's name for it is "partial 16S ribosomal RNA". It matches the Rfam family "Bacterial small subunit ribosomal RNA", at positions 338 to 795 of the family's 1533-position model. The record is from RNAcentral.